ACACAUAAUAAUAUAUAUUCACAUACAAAUAAAUGGAUGCUCAAAACUAUUUUUUAGAAAAAGAAAAGGUAACGAGAGGGGAGAAUAUGGUCAAAGCACAUUGUGUGCGUUGCAUGAAUGUCAUAAUGAAGCCCUAACUUUGUGCAAUUGAUAUAUACUAGCAAAAAAAAGUGAAUUUUAAAAAGGAAAAAGAAAGGAGGGGAGGCCCAGAAAACACUAGAGGCAGUGAAAGAGAGACGAAGCCACGGCCAGCUUUCUCCUCAGGCUUCAAGGGAAUGGAAGACACACAUUACCAGACACUCUACCCAAGACACACCAGCACAGUCAGCCACACCCACAAAUGCAGAUACACGUGACCUUGGACACCACAGUCACACACUGGGAGAUGAGUCUUCUGGUAACAUUAAGGUGAGGAUCAGCUGAGGGUGAGCUCAGUUGCAGUACAUCCAACCAACCCUGCAGCUGCUGCAGCACAGGCCAUCCAGAACGACCCUCCUGACAGCAGGCACACAGCAUUCCUAAACACCUUUGCUGCCUGAGUCUUUCCAAGGCCCAGAAUGGAGGAUGUUCCAAAGUGCAGUUCCUCCCAUCUCAAGUUUAGAAGGAAGAGUGGCAGGGUGUGAUCAGAGAGAGCUCCAGUCUACAGGCAAGGCGUCUAAGGCUAAGGAUGAGUAAGCACCUCCUUCCAGGGUAGACUCGAGUUGGCCAUAGGACCUGCUUCCUGCAGUCCAAGCUAAUGACUGACACAGUAAUAAUGCUCAUUGCUCUGCUCUCAGCUCGGUCUUCCCAGCCUGCUUCCAGCUGAAUCCACUGCAAGGGAGUUACCUAAAAGGGGGCUACCCAAUCAGGGCAGGCAGGAGAAUCCUGGCUGACCUGGGAAGUUCCCCUCCUCACUUUAGACACAGACAAGCCUAAAGCUCAUAAUAAAUCCAUAAAAGCGGCAGAGGACACAUUGGCCUUCCCCCUCCUGACUUCUGACCAUCACAGAGGAGCCUUCUGCCAGGCAUGGUGGCUCACACUAUGGAGCACUCAGGAGGCUGAGGCAGAAAGAUUGUUCAAAGUCAGUCUGGGAUACAGGGGAUACCUGUUAAGAGGAACAGGGGAGAGAGAAAAAGGAAAAGGCAGGGAGGCUAGCCUUAUCUAAAAGCAAAUGCUUCUAACAACAACAAAAAAAAAAUAUCGAAAGAGAGAAGGCAAAGGGAAGAGAAAACCUUUGACUGGGACCCAAAGCUUGGGUUCUGGUCAAGCUCAGCAUCUGCCUCCAGGUGGGUACUCUCCAUCUUUGGACCAGGAAUCCUCAGCUGAUGGGAUACUGGGUGAGAUAAUUCCCAGACAAGGCAACCUAAGACCAUCCACUUAUGGGAUGUCCAGCUGAAGUAGACCUUAGAGGUUAACCAGUUAGGUUACCAUAGCCUGAACCAUCACUCCAAAGCUGCCCCCACUCCACUAUGGCAGCCUGACUCAGAAGUUCUAAGUACAUCUACUGGAGGUUCGGCCUCAAGAUAUCCUGAUUAAGAAUUGGCAGAUUUUCUCCAUACAGAGCCCCAAACUCACACAUGUGGAUUUUCUCCAAGAAAGUUUGGUCUGGUCCUCCAUUGAGCCUACCCUGCCCCUGAGGCUGCUUCAACAAAUACGUAUCAAGUUCCUACAAGGUGACAGGCAUUGGUCCUGUGGCUAUGAUGCAGGGAGAAUCCCUUCUUUUCCAGAUCUGCAACUUCAAUGGGUUGAUCAAAACUGGCUCCAAGAAUCAACUUUGAUUUCCUAACAGUGGUCCUGGUACUCAGAAGACCCCACUGAAUGGAUGUAUGAAAGGAUAAAGUCCCCUCUUCUCAAGGGUUCCUCAAGAUCAAGAAUGACACAGAAAGCCAUAUCAUGCCCAGUCUUAUACUCAUUUCUGAGGGAAAGGCUCAAACCUUCACAUGAGAAUCCUCAGAGAGUCUGUGGGACCACCACUUCAAGAGACAAAAAUCAUACCUCAUACCCUUGACUGGGCCAGGCAAUCUUUGGCCACUAACUCUGAGCCUGUAACUAAUUUCAUGAACAGACAUGGGCUUCAAAAAGAGCAGUUCAGCUGGGCCUGAUGUGGAAGAACCCGGGGUUUUCUUGAGAGCCUGUCCACAACCCUAUUCCUAUUCCCAAACCUCCCCUGGGAGUAAGAAGGAAGGGGAGCCAGAAAGAUGGGUCAUAUUGGCUUAGGUCAGUUGUGUUUCUGUUACUUCCUGGAUUGGUCCAUAAAGAUCAGGCUGCCCCCAUUCACAUGCCACCUGCCUCACCCCUACUUCCUCGUAGCUUUCUCUCUUGGACUCCAGGGUAGAAGCUCUGCCUAGUCCUCUAGGCACCUCUUACUUGGUACUUCACACAUGACCUUGGCUACCACUCCUGCCCUUGCUCCUUUGGUGGGCUCUUGAUCAAGGUAACCCGCCAUCCUUCUGAGUUACCCCAGAGGAAGGGUCUAUCUUAUGGCUCUUCCUUCUCCCUUCCUGCCCCUGGAAGAUCCCAUGACUAACUCCACUCUCAUCCAUCUCUUCCUCCAUCCCUGACUCCCAGGCUCAGACCUUACCACCUAUCACCUGCUUCCUGACAGCUUCCUCAAGGUCUCUUUGUCCCCAGUCUCCCUUCUUCCACAUUGUCCACAUGGGUCAUCCAAAGCCACGUUUCCAAACUUCCUAUCUCCCUAUACCUCCUUCAGGAAAUCACCCUGAGACUCCCCCACUCCUCCCAAGAUCAUCUGUAUACUUUAACAGAUCCCCAACACCUGGUCCUAAUAGGAUUUGUUUCUCUAUGGCUCUUCUACCCUCAUGGCACUUCAGCUACUAAAACUCCUUAGACCCUGCUCUCAGCCUUCACUCUCCUGUCCUACUACCCAGCAUACCCUUCCUGUCAACUCCACCUACCAAAGCCCACUCUUAUAUCACCUCCCCUAUGAAGUGCUCCAGACUGUCCACAGGCUCAGAAUGACCUGUCCCCUCCUCAGCCCACCUCUGCCGUGACUUAUUUUACUUACUUCACAUACUUCUCACAUUCUCCUUUGUUGCCCCCACUCCAGGCUAUGAGCAAGAGGGGGUGUUCUUUAUCUCGGUGUUAAGUUGUCUGUCUCCUGGUAGAUAGGGAACCUCAAUGACUCUGACUUUAACCAACAGGCCAGCAGAAGAAACCACGUUCUGCAGUGGCCCAAGAGGAAGGCUGGAGUUGGGGCAGAGGAGGCAGGGCAAAUGAGCCAUCCUAGACUGUGGACCACCCUGGGUCCAGGCAAAGCAUAGCUGAACUAUGUGUAGCUUGCCCCAACCGAGAAGUAUCCAAUCAACCAAAAAGAUCAGCCAUGGAGAUCUAGAAGUCUGUUCUCUGUCCCAGCAUCCUCAGCUUAGAAGUGAGACAGAACCACUCCAGCCUGCCCAGCUCCCAGGAGCCCCAUACUAUCAUCAAAGUCAACACACACUGUGCACUGAUCUCCCUGACUGUGCUAACCACUUUAUCAACAUAAUGGCAAUUAACUGUGUCUUA
Molecule: non-coding RNA, 3501 nt
Organism: Peromyscus maniculatus bairdii (prairie deer mouse)
Lineage: Eukaryota; Metazoa; Chordata; Mammalia; Rodentia; Cricetidae
Source: RefSeq, a predicted model, not a curated record